RNAcentral lists this ribosomal RNA (468 nucleotides) under uncultured bacterium. Its description in RNAcentral is "partial 16S ribosomal RNA". It matches the Rfam family "Bacterial small subunit ribosomal RNA", at positions 39 to 507 of the family's 1533-position model. The record is from RNAcentral.
GGGGGGGGGGGGGGGGGGGGGGGGGGGGGGGGGGGCGGGCGGGGGGGGGCGGGGUUGGUGGGGGGGUGGGGUGGCGGGCGGGUGGGUGACACGGGGGUAACCGGCCCUUGACUUGGGGAUCACUUCAGGAAACUGGGGCUAAUACCGGAUAGGAGCUCCGGCUGCCUGGUGGGGGUUGGAAAGUUUCGGCGGUUGGGGAUGGACUCGCGGCUUAUCAGCUUGGUGGUGGGGUAGUGGCUUACCAAGGCGUUGACGGGUAGCCGGCCUGAGAGGGUGACCGGCCACAUUGGGACUGAGAUACGGCCCAGACUCCUACGGGAGGCAGCAGUGGGGAAUAUUGCACAAUGGGCGGAAGCCUGAUGCAGCAACGCCGCGUGCGGGAUGACGGCCUUCGGGUUGUAAACCGCUUUCGCCUGUGACGAAGCGUGAGUGACGGUAAUGGGUAAAGAAGCACCGGCUAACUACGUG